UUAUGCCGCAGCUGAGGCCGUGCAGCUCAUCGCAUCGGUGCCGGGCGGCGGUGGGAUGGGGGCCGCGCUCCCCCCGGCCCUGGGCAGCAGCCAAAAGUCCAGAGCCGAAAAGUAGUGGUGAUUGAUGGCAGCGUUUGCCGGAGCCGCCCAUUGGGAACGUUAAGCACUGGGCAACCCCAAGAAGGCUCAGCAGCGCAUGGGGUGGGCUCAGGGAGAAAAGGCAGAGCAACACCAACAGCUCCAGCAGCAGCGUGGGGGAAAUUAAACAGAGAUAUAACUUAAAAAGCUCUGGAGGGGCGACUGCUUCAUUCAGUGCACUCUGCAUCACACAGAACCCCCUCCUCAGGCAUCAACCGGCCCUGAAACCAAAGGAAAACCAAUGAGAAGAACCCAAAUCCCCCAAUGCGCCCCAAUCCUGCAGCCCCACGGACUCCCAUCUGCUCAGCACUUGAGAACAGUCACCUCAAAUUAAAUGAACAACUCUGCGUUCUCCAUAGGAAAGGCCUGCUCGGGGAGGAGGAGGACAAAAUAAAGCUCAUAAAUAUGUA
Molecule: long non-coding RNA, 548 nt
Organism: Gallus gallus (chicken)
Lineage: Eukaryota; Metazoa; Chordata; Aves; Galliformes; Phasianidae
Exons: 2
Source: RefSeq, a predicted model, not a curated record